GGGUCUUGCGUUGGGUGUGGGAAUUGAGUAUUCAGCCCCUCGAGAGAGGUUUUUGGUGCAUUUGCUCAUAGUACCUGCUGACUGUCCCCGAAAGGGGCGUUGGAAUGCUACGACGCGAUACCGCCCGUCUUGAAACACGGACCAAGGAGUCUAGCGUAUGAGCGAGUCAAAGGGGCAAGUGUAUACCCUACGGCGCAGUGAAAGCGAAUUGUGACCCGGUAAAAUGGAGCAAUUUGAGGCGGCUGUGAUUCUUCGGAUGAUCGGUCCGACCUAGAGCUAAUACGCUAGUACCCGAAAGAUGGUGAUCUAUGCCUGGGUGGGACGAAGCCAGGGGAAACCCUGGUGGAAGUUCGAAGCGUUGCUGACGUGCAAAUCGUUCGCCGAACCCGGGUAUAGGGACUAAAGAUCAAUCGAACCAUCUAGUAGCUGGUUCCCUCCGAAGUUUCUCUCAGGAUAGCUGGCCGACGUUGACCCCGAAAGAUGGUGAGUUGUUGUGGGCGGUAGAGCGAAUGAUUAGCAUGUUGGGGGAGUAACCCUUCCCCGGAUGAUUCUCAAACUCUAAAUGCCCACGCUGUGAGCCUGGGGGCAUUCUUUGCCCCAGUUUAUUUAAAACGUCGGCCGUGUGGGCCACUUUUGGUAAGCAGAACUGGCGAUGCGGGUUGAACCGUACGUGCGUCUAAGGCGCCCAAAUGCCCGCUAAGAGACCCCAAGAAAGGUGUUAAUCCAUCGAGACAGCAGGACGGUGGCCAUGGAAGUUGGAAUCCGCUAAGGAGUGUGUAACAACUCACCUGCCGAAUGGGUUUGCCCUGAAAAUGGAUGGCGCUCAAGCGUGGCUGCCGA
Molecule: ribosomal RNA, 840 nt
Filed under: Martensia flabelliformis
Lineage: Eukaryota; Rhodophyta; Florideophyceae; Ceramiales; Delesseriaceae
Description: LSU rRNA
Rfam family: Eukaryotic large subunit ribosomal RNA
Source: RNAcentral